This 638-nucleotide long non-coding RNA is filed under the name Elaeis guineensis (African oil palm). Its description in RNAcentral is "long non-coding RNA (EGUI_LNC072833)". The record is from RNAcentral. Lineage: Eukaryota; Viridiplantae; Streptophyta; Magnoliopsida; Arecales; Arecaceae.
CUUCAGCAUUGCUUGGUUUGAAGUAUCAACGAAGCAACAAGACUUGUUUUUGCCCCGUGAUAUAUCGAUGCAUCAAUCUCACAUGCUAUCUUACUCUAGAAACUCUGUUUUGGAGUGGCAAUGCUUUCGUACUCCCUGCUUUCGUGAUAUUGUCAUCUGGAUACACGAGGCCCUUAAAAAUCAUCCACAUCAUAAUGCAACAGAUGCCUUUGGUGCAUUUUGGGUGUUUCAAAUCUGUUCUUUUACAUCAUCAAAUAAAAAAGAGAGCAGAGAGAAACUAUGGUAAGGGGUUGAAUAAGAAAAAAGUGUUCUUUCUUUAUAUGGGAGUGAGAAGGCUGCAAUGAAGUUGAAUAGUAAGUCCUUUUAAUCAAAAGUUGGUUCGUCGAACUGCCUUGAGCUGGACGAUUUGGGACAUGCCGUAACAUACUAGCAGCUAAUUCAUGUGGUUCAGGCAUCCGAUUCGGAAUGCCGGUGAAGACACAACGAGGGAGAAGGAAAGAGGGGAAGAGAGAUAGAGAAGAGAGAAAAGAAAGAAAAAGGUCGGCAGUGGCCCACCGAGGCUGCUGGUGGACCGUCGAGCCUCUAGGUCUCCACAGUCCUAUGCGAGAUGGGAGGAGAGAGAGAGAGAGGGAAAGGGA